This 663-nucleotide ribosomal RNA is filed under the name Vagococcus carniphilus. RNAcentral's name for it is "bacterial SSU rRNA". It matches the Rfam family "Bacterial small subunit ribosomal RNA", at positions 1 to 637 of the family's 1533-position model. Lineage: Bacteria; Bacillati; Bacillota; Bacilli; Lactobacillales; Enterococcaceae. The record is from RNAcentral.
UUUAUUGAGAGUUUGAUCCUGGCUCAGGACGAACGCUGGCGGCGUGCCUAAUACAUGCAAGUCGAACGCUUUGAUUUUCACCGGAGCUUGCUCCACCGAAAAUCAAAGAGUGGCGGACGGGUGAGUAACACGUGGGCAACCUGCCCAACAGAGGGGGAUAACACUUGGAAACAGGUGCUAAUACCGCAUAAUUUGUUUUUCCGCAUGGAAGAAUAAUAAAAGACGCUUCGGUGUCACUGUUGGAUGGGCCCGCGCUGCAUUAGUUAGUUGGUGGGGUAACGGCCUACCAAGACCAUGAUGCAUAGCCGACCUGAGAGGGUGAUCGGCCACACUGGGACUGAGACACGGCCCAGACUCCUACGGGAGGCAGCAGUAGGGAAUCUUCGGCAAUGGACGAAAGUCUGACCGAGCAACGCCGCGUGAGUGAAGAAGGUUUUCGGAUCGUAAAACUCUGUUGUUAGAGAAGAACAAGUGAGAGAGUUACUGUUCUCACCUUGACGGUAUCUAACCAGAAAGCCACGGCUAACUACGUGCCAGCAGCCGCGGUAAUACGUAGGUGGCAAGCGUUGUCCGGAUUUAUUGGGCGUAAAGCGAGCGCAGGCGGUUUCUUAAGUCUGAUGUGAAAGCCCUCGGCUCAACCGAGGAAGGUCAUUGGAAACUGGG